GGAGUCUGGGCCGUGUCUCAGUCCCAAUGUGGCCGUUCAUCCUCUCAGACCGGCUAUGUAUCAUCGCCUUGGUGGGCCGUUACCUCACCAACUAGCUAAUACAGCGUAAGCCCAUCCCACAGCGGUGCAAACGCACCUUUAAUAAUAAGGAGAUGCCUCCCUAUUACCUAUGCGGUAUUAAUAGUCGUUUCCAACUGCUAUCCCCCGCUCUGGGGUAGGUUGCCUACGUAUUACUCACCCGUUCGCCACUAGGGUUCUACCGAAGCAAAACCCCCGUUCGACUUGCAUGUGUUAGGCACGCCGCCAGCGUCGUCCUGAGCCACGGAUCAAACUACU
This 336-nucleotide ribosomal RNA is filed under the name uncultured Erysipelotrichaceae bacterium. RNAcentral's name for it is "partial 16S ribosomal RNA". The record is from RNAcentral. Lineage: Bacteria; Bacillati; Bacillota; Erysipelotrichia; Erysipelotrichales; Erysipelotrichaceae.